UACCAAGCUCCGGGUGGUUCUCUUGUGAAAUUUGCAGCUGGCCCUCUGGACUUUGGCCUGAGCCCUCACCUGUCUCGCUAAGCCUGCGUGGCACUCGAGCAACCUCCUUUAUUUAUUUUUAAAUAAAACGACAGGAGAGAUUGUUCAGCGUUAUUUUUGUUUUAACGGUGGCAGCGAUGCUCUUUCCAGCUUUCUGCAUCCUAAGCUGAAACCGAAGUCCUUGCUUCUCGUCUUCAUUGAAAAAACAGGGUACGCCUCUGCGUGGGUGGCGCUUCCAGGGUCGCGGAGUCUGUGCACUCUCUAGGGGCCAGUGCAACCGGACUGGGGAGUGGCGGAAUGAGAAUAUUUUAAUACCAAUCUGCGGUGGUUCUGCGCUGUUAACGUAUAUGCUAUAUAUAUUUGGAUUUUUGUCGUCAAGAGAUCUCACUUCCAUAUUUGAGUUGUCUUCAGUUUUCCAAGAGCAACAGGAAAUGAACACAUCACAGGUGAGUUUAUUCCUGCCUUGUUUUACAGUGGAUUUUGUGAAGUUUGUAAGGGAACAGAAAUUAAAAUAGAAAAAUAGAAAUAGAUGAAAAUAGGGGCGCCUGGGUGGCUCAGUCAGUUGGGCGUCUGCCUUCGGCUCGGGUCAUGAUCUCGGGGUCCUGGGAUCGGGUCCCACAUUGGGCUCCUUGCUUGGCAGGGAGCCUGCUUCUCCCUCUCCCACUGCCCCUCCCCCUGCUUGUGCUCUCUCUGUCAAAUAAGUAAAUAAAAAUAUUAAAAAAAAAAAAGAAAUAGAUGAA
RNAcentral lists this long non-coding RNA (779 nucleotides) under Ursus maritimus (polar bear). RNAcentral's name for it is "lncRNA (ENSUMAG00000000147.1)". The record is from RNAcentral. Lineage: Eukaryota; Metazoa; Chordata; Mammalia; Carnivora; Ursidae.